GUCCACGCCGUAAACGAUAAUCACUAGAUGUUGGUUCGGCUUAGCUGGAUCAGUGUCGUAGCUAACGCGUUAAGUGAUUCGCCUGGGGAGUAUGGUCGCAAGGCUAAAACUUAAAGAAUUGACGGGGGUCCGCACAAGCGGUGGAACAUGUGGUUUAAUUCGACACUACGCGAGAAACCUUACCUGGGCUUGACAUGUACUCGACAGCUGUAGAAAUACGGUCUUUUGGGGCUUCGGUUCAAAACGGGUACACAGGUGCUGCAUGGCUGUCGU
This 273-nucleotide ribosomal RNA is filed under the name uncultured bacterium. RNAcentral describes it as "partial 16S ribosomal RNA". It matches the Rfam family "Bacterial small subunit ribosomal RNA", at positions 793 to 1055 of the family's 1533-position model. The record is from RNAcentral.